This 29-nucleotide non-coding RNA is filed under the name Mus musculus (house mouse). Lineage: Eukaryota; Metazoa; Chordata; Mammalia; Rodentia; Muridae. The record is from RNAcentral.
UCCUAAUGUAACCAUUAUUGCAGCUGUGG